CUAACACAAUUCUUGAGUGCAAACUGGUACAAGACACAAUAACAGUUAGUGUGAAUUUUCUUGGAUUUAUGCAAUGUAUCUUUGCCUAAAUGUCAUCUACCAAUAGGAUUAGCAUUUUAAUAAUCCUAUGGGCCAAGUGGUCUGCAAAUGUUUGGAGAGUAAGCAUUGACAGCUGUAGAAUAUCUAUAUUCUGCAAAACAUCUAAUGUUUUAGGUUGGAAAAUAGAGCAUGAAGAAAAAUAUUUACUUUCUUUUAUUUCUUAAACAUUUUAAUACGACUAAUGUUAUACAGAAAACAAAAACUGUAACACCUACAUGAACUACUUCCAGACAAAGGGAUACAACUUCUAAAACAGUGAGUUUAUAGUUCAAUGUAAAUGUAAGAUGUCAUUUAAGAACAAUAAGGCAGAUGCCUACGACAAAUUAGGAAAUUGGCACAGACUU
Non-coding RNA from Pelobates cultripes (western spadefoot toad), 443 nucleotides. The record is from the annotation of a GenBank genome assembly. Lineage: Eukaryota; Metazoa; Chordata; Amphibia; Anura; Pelobatidae.